This 889-nucleotide ribosomal RNA is filed under the name Umbilicaria umbilicarioides. RNAcentral's name for it is "eukaryotic LSU rRNA". It matches the Rfam family "Eukaryotic large subunit ribosomal RNA", at positions 78 to 985 of the family's 3401-position model. Lineage: Eukaryota; Fungi; Ascomycota; Lecanoromycetes; Umbilicariales; Umbilicariaceae. The record is from RNAcentral.
CCUCAGUAACGGCGAGUGAAGCGGCAACAGCUCAAAUUUGAAAUCUGGCCGUUCGGCGGUCCGAGUUGUAAUUUGUAGAGGAUGCUUCGGGUGCGGCGCCGGUCUAAGUUCCUUGGAACAGGACGUCAGAGAGGGUGAGAAUCCCGUAUGUGACCGGUGACCCAGCCCGUGUGAAGCUCCUUCGACGAGUCGAGUUGUUUGGGAAUGCAGCUCUAAAUGGGUGGUAAAUUUCAUCUAAAGCUAAAUACCGGCCAGAGACCGAUAGCGCACAAGUAGAGUGAUCGAAAGAUGAAAAGCACUUUGGAAAGAGAGUUAAAAAGUACGUGAAAUUGUUGAAAGGGAAGCGCUUGUGACCAGACUUGCUCGCGGGCGAUCAGCCGUCCUUCUGGGCGGUGCACUCGCCCGUGAUCAGGCCAGCAUCGGUUCGGGCGGCCGGAUAACGGCCCCGGGAAUGUGGCUCCCCUCGGGGAGUGUUAUAGCCCGGGGCGCAAUGCGGCCCGCCGGGACCGAGGACCGCGCUUCGGCUAGGAUGCUGGCGUAAUGGUCGUAAGCGACCCGUCUUGAAACACGGACCAAGGAGUCUAACAUCUGUGCGAGUGUUUGGGUGUCAAACCCAUGCGCGGAAUGAAAGUGAACGGAGGUGGGAACCCUUCAGGGUGCACCAUCGACCGAUCCUGAUGUCUUCGGAUGGAUUUGAGUAAGAGCAUAGCUGUUGGGACCCGAAAGAUGGUGAACUAUGCCUGAAUAGGGUGAAGCCAGAGGAAACUCUGGUGGAGGCUCGCAGCGGUUCUGACGUGCAAAUCGAUCGUCAAAUUUGGGUAUAGGGGCGAAAGACUAAUCGAACCAUCUAGUAGCUGGUUCCUGCCGAAGUUUCCCUCAGGAUAGCAGU